Molecule: long non-coding RNA, 333 nt
Filed under: Oryza sativa tropical japonica subgroup
Lineage: Eukaryota; Viridiplantae; Streptophyta; Magnoliopsida; Poales; Poaceae
Also listed under: 1 other name
Description: lncRNA OsCMeo_02g0008160
Source: RNAcentral
GAAUCGGGGAGUGAAGAUGAUGACCUUGAUGUUGGUAUAGGUGAUGUACCAUCUGAGCUUGAGGUUAAGAAUUCUGGUCUAAUACCUGCACAAUCUAAAGAGACAGAAAGGCAGCUUUCGAAGAAGGAAUGGAAGAAGAAAGAGCUUGCAGAACUAGAUACUGUGCUGGCUGAGCUGGGGAUUUCUGGACAUGGUACCCAGCUUGAUGCAAUUAAGAGCAAGACUUCAAGGAAGAAGAAAUCAAAGAAGACAAAUCAAUCAAGGAUUCUAAAGAGCAGCCCAAUGAAAUGGAUUCCAGCAAGGACCAUGGAGAGGUGGCGGAUACAAAUCUGA